Phalacrocorax carbo (great cormorant) is the source of this 3004-nucleotide non-coding RNA. NCBI's taxonomy places the organism in Eukaryota, Metazoa, Chordata, Aves, Suliformes, Phalacrocoracidae. The record is from RefSeq and is a predicted model, not a curated record.
UCAAGCUUGAAAACCUGGAAGCAGAGGAAAAGGCUUUUUAAGCUGAGACCACCAUAUUGGUCCCUGGUUCCCUCAGCUGUAUAAUGCUGUUCUUUUUUGCCUCCAUGCUGUUCGCUAGUUAUCACCUUAAUAAGAAGACUAUCAGAGACCUUCCAGCUCUCAGGCAAGAAGACAGGCCAGACCAAUUAUCCUGAUUCAGCCUCAAAAAAUAAUGGACUUGAAUGGAAUUCCAAAGCCUCCUAAAGGACACUGGAAGUGAAUGAGAAGCUGAAGAGUUAGUGAACCAUCGUCAUUUUAGGUAAUCCACCUGCAUUUUUUCAUGGAAGACCCGAUUUUUAAAGGAAUUUAAGGAAUUGAAAGAUAAUUACACAUGAAACACCUUUGAUCCAGUCUCACCAAACAAAAGAGUCUGCCUUAAAGAAGAAAAAAAAAAAAAGACAAAGAAGCUGUUUCAUUUUAUAUUGGAAAAAUACAACGUGACAUCUGGAGAAUAAAUUGUUCAGUCAGCCAGAAAUAUGCCUUGUAAAAAUUGCUUAGGUUUCUGUAACAAGAUUAUUUACUGCGAGUGUUCACCUAUAAUAGAGCACACUUUUGAAAUGGACCUUUUAUGAAACACAUCAAGCACUGUGGAAAUGUAUUCAGUGCAUUAAUCUACAACACUACACACUUUACAACACUUAUAGAACAGAUUUUGAAACUCAGACUAUCUAAUGAGACAGAAAGUUUUUUCUUUAUAUUUAUUCCAGUCGUGUUUUAUGCUAAGCCCUCAGGGUAUUUAACAUAAUGCAAUAGGGUUUUUUAGAAAAUACAAACAAAAUGUACUACUUUUCAGAUGACUAGUGAGCUUAGGCUGUUCUCUGCAUAUAUUUACGUUGCCUCUAUGUAAGGCAAAUACCAUGUGUAUCUUUUGCUCUAGAGCUUUCUAAAUAUUUAAGCACCUCAAGAUGUGUUGGCUUCUAAUCAUAGCUUUGUGUAAUUAAUGGCAACAAAUUGAUUGUGAUUAUAGUAAAGCCAAAGUAAGGGCCUGAUUCAGAGAGGGUGGAACUGAUUUGCUAUAGCUGUAGGUGUCUCCAGUGAGAUAACAUUGAAAAAUGGAAGAAAUAAAAAGGAUGCAUCUGUGCCUUAUUUUAGGCACUAGGUCUGCAAUGAGCUGCAUAUUUGCUGUAAGAAAGUGGUUUCUAAUUCUGAAUAAUAAGUAGAGGCAGGUUGAAAGCUGAUUCGGGAAAUAUCCAGAUGUAAAAAUGAAAAACUAAAUUCUAUUAGUGAUACGUGUAAAUAGCUAAUGUAUAAAUCCCAAGUAAGAUGACAGUGAUGAAACAGAUUUGGUUUUGCCUGUAAGACAGUUUACAAUGAAGUUGCAGGAACAUAGGAGGGGUUUCUUGAUGUGUGAUUCAGAAGUCACUGCAUUCAAAUAGUGAGAUAGAUACCAAGUUAGGUUUUCAAUGCAACAGAAUAAAUGAUAGUCACAAAAGAGGGUAUCUUUCUGUUUCUAAACACAGAAGGCAGCCUUUAAUUGCUGUCUUGCCUGAAAGUAUUACGAAUAUUCUCUUGACUGGUAAUAACAUUACAUGAAUCACACAUUGGGAAUGCUUGAUUCAGACGUUGGGUCUGAAUACUUUGGGUCUGCCAUACUUUGGCAGGUCAGAUUGUCCCAAAACAAUAUUUUUCUUCAAGAAGUCCAUUAUAAAAAUGAGAAUCAAGGUAAUAAAAUUCCUGAACUGUCAAUUGUCAUUAAGGAUGUAGGUGGUAAGAAACACCAGCUGGAGCGUAAGAAUGUAGUGUAAAAGUGAAAGGUGCAUAAAAAUAUACUUAUUUUUCAGUUUAGCUUCUCCUCUGUUCCAGCAACAGGGUUUAUAGGAAGAUCUCAGCACAGGUAAGCUAUAGGUCUGCCUUCAGGCUCUGGGGUAUGCAUUCAAGCCUGUCCGCAUUUCCUGCCAGUUUAAGUUGUUCAUUAUGAAUACUGGUCCAAAAUGCUCAUCAGUUUUACAGCAUAGGGUAUUAACUUGGAAAUUGCAACUGUGGAUCGCAAUUACUUCCAACACUUUAUACCAAGAUACUACAUUUUCUUUGUUGCAAGAUGAUGGUACCAUAUGGAGAAGGCUAAAAUUCACUGACUGGAGGAAAUGACCUAUCAGUUCUUGAAUUUUUAGUUUCUGCUACUGACUCAGUGACUGGUCUGAGAUAACUUGCAUAUAUUCUUGGUUGUCCAGUAUUAAUUUAUCUUGAUUGUGGAUUGUACAGUGUUUUGCAUAUAUAAAUUACUCUAUUGCUUUUAUUUAUAUUACAAGAAACCUUUAUUAGGAAAUAGAAGUAAUUUAUGGUAGCAUGUGGUAGUUGAGAAAUUAUAUUAUCACCCAGAAAUUGUCACCUGUCUUUUUGCUUUCAAAGAUAUUUCUUAAUGUUUCUUCUGUCUUGCCACUUAAAAUUAAAACAUUCCAAGAUUGUGAAGUAUUUUUCUUUAGAAGCCUUCUGAUGUUGUCAUUUUUGUCAGUCUUCAGAUGUUCAAUUUUUGCAGUGCUCCUGGUUUCCUGCAGAUUUUAUUCUUUCUUCACAGAGUGAUUCAUGUCAUUUUCUAGAAGCAAUGUCUACUGUAUGUUUACAACUUCUGUCACCAGACCCAUGCCAUUAGAAGUCAUACUGUUUCCUGUAAUAAACUCUGCUUUCUUUGUACUUAAAAAUGUCAUAAUUUAUCUCAACUGCUGUUACAACAUUCUUUUUAUUUUCCACCUCUAUUUUGUUUGAUUGCUGUUACACUCCACUCCGUUUUGCAGUAUUGGUGCUUUAUCUGUCUCCUCUGCCUUUUUUAGUUUUGAUUAUGUUGCUGUUUCAGGUCCUUGAUUUUCCAUAUACACAAUGACUUUGAGCUUAUUGUUAUCUGAGAUAUAUAUGGGAAACGUAUUAGCAUAUGCUAACAUAUACACUGCAUGUAGCUAUGAAUGGAAAUGAAUGAUAUAUUACUUGUUAUAUAAUACAUAUCCUAACAGACUAAAUAAUAAAGAAUAAG